UCGCCACCGGGCGGCGCAAGGAGCGGCUCGAUGCUCUGGUCGCCGAACUCGGCGCCGACAAGGUGCAUCCCUGCGUGUUCGACGUGCGCGACGGUGAA
This 98-nucleotide transfer RNA is filed under the name Pseudoblastomonas marina. RNAcentral describes it as "Blastomonas marina tRNA-Gln". Lineage: Bacteria; Pseudomonadati; Pseudomonadota; Alphaproteobacteria; Sphingomonadales; Erythrobacteraceae. The record is from RNAcentral.